RNAcentral lists this ribosomal RNA (844 nucleotides) under uncultured organism. Its description in RNAcentral is "SSU rRNA". It matches the Rfam family "Bacterial small subunit ribosomal RNA", at positions 637 to 1480 of the family's 1533-position model. The record is from RNAcentral.
CAGCCUUGAGUAUCGGAGAGGAAAGCGGAAUUCCUAGUGUAGCGGUGAAAUGCGUAGAUAUUAGGAGGAACACCAGUGGCGAAGGCGGCUUUCUGGACGACAACUGACGCUGAGGCGCGAAAGUGUGGGGAGCAAACAGGAUUAGAUACCCUGGUAGUCCACACCGUAAACGAUGGAUACUAGGUGUAGGAGGUAUCGACCCCUUCUGUGCCGCAGUUAACACAAUAAGUAUCCCACCUGGGGAGUACGACCGCAAGGUUGAAACUCAAAGGAAUUGACGGGGGCCCGCACAAGCAGUGGAGUAUGUGGUUUAAUUCGAAGCAACGCGAAGAACCUUACCUGGGCUUGACAUCCCUGGAAUCGAGUAGAGAUACUUGAGUGCCUUCGGGAAUCAGGUGACAGGUGGUGCAUGGUUGUCGUCAGCUCGUGUCGUGAGAUGUUGGGUUAAGUCCCGCAACGAGCGCAACCCCUAUUGUCAGUUGCCAUCAUUAAGUUGGGCACUCUGGCGAGACUGCCGGUGACAAAUCGGAGGAAGGUGGGGACGACGUCAAAUCAUCAUGCCCCUUAUGCCCAGGGCUACACACGUACUACAAUGGCCGAUAACAAAGUGCAGCGAAACCGUGAGGUGGAGCGAAUCACAAAACUCGGUCUCAGUUCAGAUUGCAGGCUGCAACUCGCCUGCAUGAAGUUGGAAUUGCUAGUAAUCGCGGAUCAGAAUGCCGCGGUGAAUACGUUCCCGGGCCUUGUACACACCGCCCGUCACACCAUGAGAGUCGAUAACACCCGAAGCCUGUGAGCUAACCAAUUAGGAGGCAGCAGUCGAAGGUGGGGUUGAUGAUUGGCG